GGAAAACAGAAAAUCCAGUUACACAAAUACUAAGGACUAAACUGUAUAAACCCAUCAGAAACUGCUCAGCAGUUAAGAGUACCUGCUGCCCUUGCAGAGGACGGGGAUUUGAUUCCCACACACCUGGUACCUCACAACCAUCUGUAACUCCAGUUCCAGGGGAUCUGACGCCCUCCCCUGGCCUCUGCAGGCAUUGCAUGCACACGGUGCAGACAAACCUAACUUAAAUAAGUACAUUCUAAAAAUGAAGUCCAUCCGUAGAUGAGUAAAAAUCACGCUCCACGUUGGGAUGUGUGAGCUUUGCUCUAGGAACAAGGCUUCUCUUUUCUCUGCAGCAAUUCUAGAUGUAAAUCGCCACUUUGUUCUCCUGCUUGCUCUCACACUCCUCUUUGAUCAUGACUUCACACAAUGAAAAGAUACUUCCUUGUGCAAAGCAAGCAAGUGGUUAGCUUCGCAUAACCCUGGACAACAAAGGCUCUCUGUGAGGAUGAGGAAUUCCUCUGAGAAGACAGGGAAGGCCCCCAGCUGAACCGUAUCCAAGGAAGAUGUUGCAAAGCUUGCAGAGCUUGUUGGGAGAAAGGAACCCUGCGUGAGUUCUUUUCUUGCUGUUCAGAUGCUGGCCUUUCGUA
This 629-nucleotide long non-coding RNA is filed under the name Rattus norvegicus (Norway rat). Its description in RNAcentral is "long non-coding RNA NONRATT009914". Lineage: Eukaryota; Metazoa; Chordata; Mammalia; Rodentia; Muridae. The record is from RNAcentral.